UGGGGAAUUUUGGACAAUGGACGCAAGUCUGAUCCAGCCAUGCCGCGUGCGGGAAGAAGGCCUUCGGGUUGUAAACCGCUUUUGUCAGGGAAGAAAUCUUCUGGGUUAAUACCUCGGGAGGAUGACGGUACCUGAAGAAUAAGCACCGGCUAACUACGUGCCAGCAGCCGCGGUAAUACGUAGGGUGCAAGCGUUAAUCGGAAUUACUGGGCGUAAAGCGUGCGCAGGCGGUUAUGCAAGACAGGUGUGAAAUCCCCGACGCUCAACUUGGGAACUGCACUUGUGACUGCAUAGCUAGAGUACGGUAGAGGGAGUGGAAUUUCCGCGUGUAGCAGUGAAAUGCGUAGAUAUGCGGAGGAACACCGAUGGCGAAGGCAGCUCCCUGGACCUGUACUGACGCUCAUGCACGAAAA
Molecule: ribosomal RNA, 413 nt
Filed under: uncultured Inhella sp.
Lineage: Bacteria; Pseudomonadati; Pseudomonadota; Betaproteobacteria; Burkholderiales; Sphaerotilaceae
Description: bacterial SSU rRNA
Rfam family: Bacterial small subunit ribosomal RNA
Source: RNAcentral